AAGUCGUAACAAGGUUUCCGUAGGUGAACCUGCGGAAGGAUCAUUAACACGUAUCCUACGUAUCAACCCCUUCGUGCACUUUCUGUUAUAGUUGUUGAAGGAUUUGAACUUGAAGGUUAGUGGCGUUGUGAGGUCGCAAGACUUUGCUUCGUUGUUGCCUUCAGGGUCAGAAACUUUCAUAGCUUCAACUAACCCCUUUGUAAACAUUUCUUACUGAAAUAAUGUGAGUGCGUGCUGGAAACGGCCGUACGAACAAUAUUACGAAAUGCUGACAACUCUUAGCAACGGAUAUCUUGGUUCUC
This 302-nucleotide unclassified non-coding RNA is filed under the name fungal sp. RNAcentral describes it as "partial internal transcribed spacer region". The stretch from base 1 to 46 matches the Rfam family "Eukaryotic small subunit ribosomal RNA", at positions 1786 to 1831 of the family's 1831-position model. Lineage: Eukaryota; Fungi. The record is from RNAcentral.